This 756-nucleotide long non-coding RNA is filed under the name Homo sapiens (human). RNAcentral's name for it is "non-protein coding lnc-SEC61G-9:1". Lineage: Eukaryota; Metazoa; Chordata; Mammalia; Primates; Hominidae. The record is from RNAcentral.
CACCUCACCACCCUCUCUCCUGUCUCUUCCCAAGUCACCCUCCGUCCCCUCCACACUCCCCAUUCCCCUACUUCCUUCUCUCCUCGCUUCCUCUCUUCUCUCCUUUUCCUUCCCUUCUCCACUCUCCUUCUCUCCUCUCCCUGCCUCUUCUCUACUCCUCUCUCCCUCUCUUCCUUUCCCUCCCUCUCCCUUCCCUCUCCCUCCGUCUCUCCUUUUCCUCUCCUUCCCUCUCUCCCUUCUGUGCCCUCUCUCCCCCAUGUCUCUCCUGCUCCUUCUCUUCCUCCCCCCUUCCCCCCUCAUUCUCUCUCCUCUCCCACCCCUUCCCCCUCAUUCUCUCUGCUCUCCCACCCCCUUCCCCCCUCUUACCUCUCUCCCUCUCUCCCCAUUCUUUCUCCCUCUACCCUUCUCCUUCUCUGCUUCCCACUCCAAUUCUCCCUCUCUUCCUUCCCCCUCCCCUUCUCUCUGUCCCUCUCGCCCCCUCCCUCCUUUUCCCCUACCCUCUCUCCUUCUCUUCGGUUGUUCUUAUCUUAUCUAAGGGGCACUUUGCAAAGAGCUGAUGGUUCCCUAAAAGCAGUCCUGGGAAGAUUUGUAUGGCCAGUGGAAAUGCACAACCACAAUGCACACUUAUGGAGAAGAGGGCCAUGGGGAAUGCAGAAAUGAUUUGGGGUGGAUGCACUCCUCCCCCCACCCCUCACCUCACCCCCGGUUUAAAGAGAGACACUGUCUCUUUUCAACAUUUUAUGAAAUCCCAAAAAU